GUCUAUUAAGCUAAGAUUGUAUGGAGGAUAACUCUUCUGUAUUCUCUCAAGCUUAAUAUUUACAGACAAACUAAUAUUUGUUCUUGUAAAAUCAAAAAUGUCUUUUGUUUCUUCUCUUUCACCUGUGAUUACACAUUUGUAUUCCAAUCAUUUCUAAUCCUCCAGGUUUACCCUCACUGUUUGAAAACCUGUCAUAUUUUGUUGUUGUAGAACCUGUUUUUCCUAACUUACAUUUGGUUGUGUCAGUGUUUAAAAGUGUUUUACAAACAAGAAUAUAAAAACGUGGAAACCACAUCUUUGUAUCUGAUACAGUUUUUUUCUUCCUUUACUUGAAUUGUCAGAUAAAGUUCUGUUGGGUCUUUCUGGAUUACAGUGUGAGAAAUAUGAUGUUGGAUUAGAAGUUGUUCAUUUUCUUAUGAUGUAGCUAGUGAACUUAAAACCUCUUUUUUUAUUUGUUUAUUUAGGAGAUGGAUUAUUAUAAAUAUUUAAGGAUGUGUGAUUAAGAAUUUACAAACCUUACUCGUAGUGCUAUACAGAGAGAAAUUAGUGAAUAAUUGUGUUUUCUAGGUUCUCUUUCUAAGGGUGAGAAGUUUGAUUCAUCCUGUGACAGGGGUAAACAAUUUUAGUUUAAAAUAGGCAAGGGUGAAGUUAUCAAAGACUGGGAUCAUGGAGUGGCUCAGCCGCUGACCUGCAGUGCUGGAAGUCGACAGAAGAGUGAAUAAACAAGAAAGAAUAUGUAACUGCAGCUAAUCAGGGUUGUGUUGGAGUUUGAUGGACAUCUGAUGUAGAAAAAUCUGUGCAGUCUUUGAAACAGUUGAUGAAACAUAAGAAGUACUCUAUACAUGCAGGUAAACCAAAUUAAAACCAGAUACUAGCUAAAGUUUUCUAUAUGUUCAGUAAUAUAAAGAAAAUCAUGUGAUUAAAAGAGACUAAGCUACUUUUAUUUGGGAAGAAAUUGUGUACAAAAUAAAUGUACGAGUCAUGUUUUAUUUAGGAAAAAUCAUAGGUCACUUUAAGUUCUUUCUGUCUACUGUAUGUUGUACUUUCUUAUUCUCAUUUAUACACAUGUCUACUCCUGUAUUUUUAACAGUAGAAAG
Limulus polyphemus (Atlantic horseshoe crab) is the source of this 1097-nucleotide long non-coding RNA. RefSeq lists it as uncharacterized. NCBI's taxonomy places the organism in Eukaryota, Metazoa, Arthropoda, Merostomata, Xiphosura, Limulidae. The record is from RefSeq and is a predicted model, not a curated record. The transcript is spliced from 3 exons.